Molecule: unclassified non-coding RNA, 316 nt
Filed under: uncultured fungus
Lineage: Eukaryota; Fungi
Description: sequence contains ITS1
Rfam family: 5.8S ribosomal RNA (bases 1-105)
Source: RNAcentral
GAAAUGCGAUAAGUAGUGUGAAUUGCAGAAUUUAGUGAAUCAUCGAAUCUUUGAACGCACAUUGCGCCCUUUAGUAUUCCUUAGGGCAUGCCUGUUUGAGCGUUAUUUAACCCCUCAAGCUUAGCUUGGUGUUGGGCGUCCUGUCCCCUCCACCCCCCGCAAUGGGGGGCGGGGACUCGCCUCAAAUUGAUUGGCGGCUGGUACGUUGGCUUCGAGCGCAGCAGAAACGCGAACUCGGGGCCUGGCGAGCCGGCUCCUACAAGCCACACAUCUAACUUUUGACCUUGGAUCAGGUAGGGAUACCCGCUAAACUUAA